RNAcentral lists this long non-coding RNA (587 nucleotides) under Homo sapiens (human). RNAcentral's name for it is "HSALNT0408101". The record is from RNAcentral. Lineage: Eukaryota; Metazoa; Chordata; Mammalia; Primates; Hominidae.
CACACACACACACACACACACACACACACACACACACACACGCAGUGUGAAAGAUGCGAGCCAUAGCAUCUCGUAACAUGAAGGCCAUCCAGCUCCAUCCUCCCACUGCUGCUUGAACAAUAUGCUUAACACGUAGUGCCGCAGUCGCUGCUUGGAUUGAAUGUGUUCAUGCACAGAUUUUAUCAUCUUGUUACUCAAACGACUGAUGGCUUCUGACCCUGCCUGAAAAUUUCCUAAGAGGUAACAGUUCUAGGACACAGAUGCUGGAGGGAGUGGAGGAAGAAGUUUAAUUACCACAUACAGCUCUUCCAUAUGCAAGGUCUCUGGGGCAAAACUGUCAUUCUGUCUGAAGCCAGACCCUCAAUGUCAGACUAAGAGAGUCGGAUGGAGACUACAUCUUCUGUGUGUGUUGCAAUGGGAGGACUUCUCUCCACCGAGUUUAGUGAGGGGGUUCUUGAAGAGGACUGCCAGAAGCACUGGGGAAAGGCCACAAGGAAAAGGAAACCUCCAGCCGAGCCCUUUGGGUUGAGUGGAAGCUGGGUGAGGCCUGUGACUGCUAGCUUUCCCCCACUUCCCUGACAGCCUGU